This 301-nucleotide ribosomal RNA is filed under the name uncultured bacterium. RNAcentral describes it as "partial 16S ribosomal RNA". It matches the Rfam family "Bacterial small subunit ribosomal RNA", at positions 509 to 809 of the family's 1533-position model. The record is from RNAcentral.
CAGCAGCCGCGGGAAUACAGAGGGUGCGAGCGUUAAUCGGAUUUACUGGGCGUAAAGAGCUCGUAGGCGGUUUGUCGCGUCUGCCGUGAAAGUCCGGGGCUCAACCCCGGAUCUGCGGUGGGUACGGGCAGACUAGAGUGAUGUAGGGGAGACUGGAAUUCCUGGUGUAGCGGUGAAAUGCGCAGAUAUCAGGAGGAACACCGAUGGCGAAGGCAGGUCUCUGGGCAUUAACUGACGCUGAGGAGCGAAAGCAUGGGGAGCGAACAGGAUUAGAUACCCGCGUAGUCCCUGUCUCUUAUAA